UGGGGGAUAUUGCACAAUGGGCGAAAGCCUGAUGCAGCGACGCCGCGUGGGGGAUGAAGGCUUUCGGGUUGUAAACCUCUUUCGCUAUCGAACAAGGCCCGCUUAGGGUGGGUUGAGGGUAGGUGGAGAAGAAGCGCCGGCUAACUACGUGCCAGCAGCCGCGGUAAUACGUAGGGCGCGAGCGUUGUCCGGAAUUAUUGGGCGUAAAGGGCUUGUAGGCGGCUUGUUGCGCCUGCUGUGAAAACGCGGGGCUUAACUUCACGCGUGCAGUGGGUACGGGCAGGCUUGAGUGUGGUAGGGGUGACUGGAAUUCCAGGUGUAGCGGUGGAAUGCGCAGAUAUCUGGAGGAACACCGAUGGCGAAGGCAGGUCACUGGGCCAUUACUGACGCUGAGGAGCGAAAGCAUGGGUAGCGAACAGG
This 420-nucleotide ribosomal RNA is filed under the name bacterium. RNAcentral describes it as "partial 16S ribosomal RNA". It matches the Rfam family "Bacterial small subunit ribosomal RNA", at positions 355 to 776 of the family's 1533-position model. The record is from RNAcentral.